UCCUUGUCGGGUAAGUUCCGACCUGCACGAAUGGCGUAACGAUGGCGGCGCUGUCUCCACCCGAGACUCAGUGAAAUUGAAAUCGCUGUGAAGAUGCAGUGUAUCCGCGGCUAGACGGAAAGACCCCGUGAACCUUUACUGUAGCUUUGCACUGGACUUUGAGCCUGCUUGUGUAGGAUAGGUGGGAGGCUUUGAAGCGUGGACGCCAGUUCGCGUGGAGCCAUCCUUGAAAUACCACCCUGGCAUGCUUGAGGUUCUAACUCUGGUCCGUGAUCCGGAUCGAGGACAGUGUAUGGUGGGCAGUUUGACUGGGGCGGUCUCCUCCUAAAGAGUAACGGAGGAGUACGAAGGUGCGCUCAGACCGGUCGGAAAUCGGUCGCAGAGUAUAAAGGCAAAAGCGCGCUUGACUGCGAGACAGACACGUCGAGCAGGUACGAAAGUAGGUCUUAGUGAUCCGGUGGUUCUGUAUGGAAGGGCCAUCGCUCAACGGAUAAAAGGUACUCCGGGGAUAACAGGCUGAUACCGCCCAAGAGUUCAUAUCGACGGCGGUGUUUGGCACCUCGAUGUCGGCUCAUCACAUCCUGGGGCUGAAGCCGGUCCCAAGGGUAUGGCUGUUCGCCAUUUAAAGUGGUACGCGAGCUGGGUUUAGAACGUCGUGAGACAGUUCGGUCCCUAUCUGCCGUGGACGUUUGAGAUUUGAGAGGGGCUGCUCCUAGUACGAGAGGACCGGAGUGGACGAACCUCUGGUGUUCCGGUUGUCACGCCAGUGGCAUUG
Molecule: ribosomal RNA, 775 nt
Filed under: Pseudomonas aeruginosa
Lineage: Bacteria; Pseudomonadati; Pseudomonadota; Gammaproteobacteria; Pseudomonadales; Pseudomonadaceae
Description: partial 23S ribosomal RNA
Rfam family: Bacterial large subunit ribosomal RNA
Source: RNAcentral